AGCUGAAAACGGAGAACGGAUAUCGAAUACACCGCAAGCACGAUACACGGCAUCCAUGUCGGGAUCGAAAAACGUUUAAUAAAAAGAUGACUGAACGAAGAACGAAUAAUUAAAUUACCCAAUACGCAGCACGAAAAUACCCCAUUACCCCCCUCUAGUAUGAAUUCGGCUAUUCAAAUUUAAGGGCUGCAUGGUAAACUAAAAAUAUAAACUCCUUAUAUGGAUAAACAUUAUAAAC
Paramuricea clavata is the source of this 238-nucleotide non-coding RNA. The record is from the annotation of a GenBank genome assembly. Lineage: Eukaryota; Metazoa; Cnidaria; Anthozoa; Malacalcyonacea; Plexauridae.